AAGCCCCACCUAACCCCACUACCCACCACUCCUUUUUUCACUUAUCUCUUACUCUUUUUGACCGACUCCUCACUUCCUCACUUCUCUUUUCUUUCUUUUUCUUCUUGUUCAUUUUCGGUGCAACGCUCCUCUUCACUCUUUUAAACUCUCUUGUCGGCACCUCCAUAUCACCAUUUCCAUCAUCAUUUUUCCGGCAAGAUCACCGGAAAAUUCUUGGGAACCCAUAAAUACCUUCACAUCCUUUUUUUGAGGUUCUAACUAAUCUCCUUGGAGCUUGGAGAAUUAGGAUUUUGCGGUUGUGAGUCUUUGUGACAACGAAAUCAAAUCCAGGUCAGUGCCCUUUCACUUUGGAUGACGCGUUCUUCCCUGCUGUCCAUGGGGGGAAGAGGUUCCUUGAUUGUGUAUGGGUGAGGCUGCUGUCCAUGGGGCCAAAAGACCACACGCAAGAAAGGUCCUAUUUAACGCGCUCUCUCUGCUGCCCACGGGGGGAGAGAAAAACCUUGAGGAUAUGGGUGAGGCUGCUAUCCAUGGGGCCAAGAGUCUGCAUAUCAAAGAGGACAAUAUCAUGCUAGUUGUAAAUAGGUAAAUCCUCUGACCGGUCAAUGUGGUAGUUUGGUAUAUUUGUGAUAAUUUACCUUACGUUAGAUAUUAUGGUUUUGAAAAUUAUAUUGUUAGUGCUCACAGAUUAUAGUAUAUAGUUUCAAGGUAUUUACUUUGAAAAACUUUAUGUUUCAUUAUUAGAUCAUUCUUGUCAGAUUAUUAUUGUUGAAGAUGAAACUUGCAUUUCCCCCACCCCCAUUAAAUAUGCUACUUACUUGGUUCUGUCUCAUUCCAUUAUUUUAUAAACUUUUUAGAGUAGACAAUAAUCUUUUGAGAUAGCUUUUUGGUGGCUUAUAGUAGUAGACUAACUAUUGAUGGAGGCUAAAGUUUUGUAAUGGAGAUAUUAGAUGUUGUACAUCUUAGAGUAGGCUUGACUCAUUCUUUUGUGUAUUAUAGUGGUUGUGACUUUAUUCCCACUAAUGGGACAAGCUGUUGAUAUGUAAUUAUUGAUUUAGACCUCUAUUCUUUUGUGGCCAUUGGUCCUUGUAAUUAUUGCUUAGAACUCUGACUUACUCUGA
This is a long non-coding RNA of Quercus robur (English oak), 1118 nucleotides long. RefSeq lists it as uncharacterized. The record is from RefSeq and is a predicted model, not a curated record. The transcript has 3 exons. NCBI's taxonomy places the organism in Eukaryota, Viridiplantae, Streptophyta, Magnoliopsida, Fagales, Fagaceae.